AUGGCUCCCGUGUCGGCUCUGGCCAAGUACAAGCUGGUCUUCCUCGGCGACCAGUCCGUCGGCAAGACCAGCAUCAUCACCCGCUUCAUGUACGACAAGUUCGACAACACCUACCAGGCUACGAUUGGUAUUGAUUUCCUGUCGAAGACAAUGUACCUUGAAGAUAGAACUGUGAGACUCCAACUCUGGGAUACAGCUGGUCAGGAAAGAUUCAGGAGUUUAAUUCCAAGCUACAUCAGAGACUCUUCAGUUGCUGUUAUUGUAUUCGAUGUUGCAAGCAGGCAGUCUUUCUUAAACACGUCGAAGUGGAUAGAGGAAGUUCGCACUGAGAGGGGCAGUGAUGUCAUUAUUGUGCUUGUUGGGAACAAAACUGACCUUGUGGACAAGAGGCAAGUAUCCAUUGAGGAAGGGGAAGGCAAGGCAAAGGACCUCGGUGUGAUGUUUAUUGAAACUAGUGCUAAAGCUGGUUUUAACAUUAAGGCUCUGUUCCGCAAAAUUGCUGCUGCACUGCCUGGAAUGGAGACCCUUUCAUCAGCAAAGCAGGAAGACAUGGUUGAUGUGAACUUAAAGUCCAGCAAUGCUAACUCAUCUCAGUCGCAGGCACAGGCUGGGGGAUGCAGUUGUUAG
This 627-nucleotide ribosomal RNA is filed under the name Triticum aestivum (bread wheat). RNAcentral's name for it is "partial small subunit ribosomal RNA". Lineage: Eukaryota; Viridiplantae; Streptophyta; Magnoliopsida; Poales; Poaceae. The record is from RNAcentral.